RNAcentral lists this long non-coding RNA (439 nucleotides) under Oryzias javanicus (javanese ricefish). RNAcentral's name for it is "lncRNA (ENSOJAG00000021523.1)". Lineage: Eukaryota; Metazoa; Chordata; Actinopteri; Beloniformes; Adrianichthyidae. The record is from RNAcentral.
AUGCUGUCUUUAGAGCUGCAGCCUGUAAUCUUACACUUUUAAUGUUGUACAAAAGCGAAAAAUAUAAACAAUGUGCAAAAUAUUAGAUACUGAAAACUAAGAGUAAAAGUCUUUAUAUUAUCACCGAAUACAUUUACAAAACGUGAAGGCUUCUAAAAUCAGGGUUCUGACCUCGUUUGUGAUCGUUCAAAAACACUUCCACGUCAAGCAGAUCAGGGUUCUAGGAACUCACGCAGAGUAUCGCGACACUUCACGAGAUCACGCUCUGGAAGCAGGUGAUUUGUUAUUUCAAAGUUUGAAACCUGCAACGAGGAUCUUCAGCGUCAAAUUCUCACCGUUUACAAGGAUUAUGGAGCCUUAAAACUCCAACCAUUACUGUUGCAACAAAAAUGAAGAGCAACAUCAGAGCAAUCAGCCGUCCAGCUUUGACUAGAUUCCA